This 355-nucleotide ribosomal RNA is filed under the name uncultured Coriobacteriales bacterium. Its description in RNAcentral is "partial 16S ribosomal RNA". Lineage: Bacteria; Bacillati; Actinomycetota; Coriobacteriia; Coriobacteriales. The record is from RNAcentral.
GGAGUUUGGGCCGUGUCUCAGUCCCAAUGUGGCCGUACACCCUCUCAGGCCGGCUACUGAUCGUUGCCUUGGUGGGCCGUUACCUCGCCAACUAGCUAAUCAGACGCGGGUCCAUCUCACACCACCGGAUUGCUCCUUUGACCCCUGCACCAUGCGAUGCUGUGGUCUUAUGCGGUAUUAGGACACCUUUCGGUAUUUUAUCCCCCUGUCAGGGAAAGGUUGCUCACGCGUUACUCACCCGUCCGCCGCUGAAACAUACAUCCGUCCGGCCGAAGCUUUCAGGUCGCAUGUCUCCGCUCGACUUGCAUGUGUUAGGCACGCCGCCAGCGUUCGUCCUGAGCCAUGAUCAAACACU